RNAcentral lists this ribosomal RNA (253 nucleotides) under uncultured bacterium. Its description in RNAcentral is "partial 16S ribosomal RNA". It matches the Rfam family "Bacterial small subunit ribosomal RNA", at positions 524 to 776 of the family's 1533-position model. The record is from RNAcentral.
UACGUAGGGCGCAAGCGUUGUCCGGAAUUAUUGGGCGUAAAGAGCUCGUAGGCGGCUUGUCACGUCGGGUGUGAAAGCCCGGGGCUUAACCCCGGGUCUGCAUUCGAUACGGGCAGGCUAGAGUGUGGUAGGGGAGACUGGAAUUCCUGGUGUAGCGGUGAAAUGCGCAGAUAUCAGGAAGAACACCCGUGGCGAAGGCGGCUCUCUGGGACGGUACUGACGCUGAGACGCGAAAGCGUGGGGAGCGAACAGG